Molecule: long non-coding RNA, 12943 nt
Filed under: Homo sapiens (human)
Lineage: Eukaryota; Metazoa; Chordata; Mammalia; Primates; Hominidae
Description: SPICE1-CFAP44 readthrough (NMD candidate), transcript variant 5 (SPICE1-CFAP44)
Source: RNAcentral
AACCUGUGGCGCGCUCCGCGGUUCCGGCGCCUGAAGUUUUAGCUGCGGUGGCGGCGGCAGUCGGGACCGACUGCAAGGCAGGUUGAGAUGAUGGAUCUGAGGCUUGCAGCUCGCAGUCCCAACGAGCCUUAGGGACCAGGGCUACCAAAAGGGUGGGGAGAACGGUGGUGGCAUCUGUCUGUUGCCUGGGAUCCAGGCGCCCGGUUGGGGAAUCCUUACUUCAGGAAGCGCAGCCGCGGCUCUGUGUUUUGAGAGUGCAAAUGUCAUUUGUCAGAGUGAACCGCUGUGGUCCCCGAGUUGGUGUAAGAAAGACACCGAAAGUAAAGAAGAAGAAAACUUCAGUGAAACAAGAAUGGGAUAAUACCGUGACUGAUCUAACCGUUCAUCGGGCAACUCCCGAAGAUCUGGUACGCCGUCAUGAAAUACACAAAUCGAAGAAUAGAGCAUUAGUACACUGGGAACUCCAAGAAAAAGCUUUGAAGAGAAAAUGGAGGAAGCAGAAACCAGAAACUUUAAAUCUUGAGAAAAGAAGAUUGUCUAUCAUGAAGGAGAUUCUUUCUGAUCAAUACCAGAUGCAAGAUGUGUUGGAGAAAUCUGAUCAUCUAAUAGCUGCAGCAAAAGAGCUGUUUCCUCGUAGGCGCACAGGGUUUCCAAAUGUAACAGUGGCUCCUGAUUCCUCUCAGGGUCCCAUUGUGGUAAAUCAAGACCCUAUCACCCAAUCUAUCUUUAAUGAGUCUGUCAUAGAACCUCAGGCUCUUAAUGAUGUAGAUGGUGAAGAAGAAGGAACUGUUAAUAGCCAGUCAGGAGAAAGUGAGAAUGAGAAUGAGUUGGAUAACUCUCUAAACUCUCAGUCUAACACGAAUACAGACAGGUUUCUCCAACAACUAACAGAAGAGAAUUUUGAGUUAAUUAGUAAGUUGUGGACUGACAUUCAGCAGAAAAUAGCAACCCAGUCACAAAUAACUCCUCCAGGAACGCCAUCAUCUGCUCUUUCAUCAGGGGAGCAAAGAGCUGCUCUGAAUGCUACCAAUGCUGUCAAGAGACUCCAAACCAGGCUUCAGCCUGAAGAAUCUACUGAGACUCUAGACUCAAGCUACGUUGUGGGACACGUGCUGAACUCAAGGAAGCAAAAACAGCUGUUAAAUAAAGUGAAAAGGAAACCGAAUUUGCAUGCUCUUUCCAAGCCGAAGAAAAACAUAUCAUCAGGUAGCACAACCUCUGCAGACUUACCAAAUAGGACUAAUUCCAACCUGGAUGUCCUCAAACACAUGAUACAUGAAGUGGAACAUGAAAUGGAAGAAUAUGAGCGGUGGACAGGUCGCGAGGUCAAGGGUCUGCAGAGCAGUCAGGGUCUUACAGGCUUCACUUUGUCGCUGGUGAGCUCCCUCUGUCGCCUGGUUCGGUACCUUAAAGAGAGUGAGAUCCAGCUACGUAAAGAAGUAGAGACAAGGCAACAACUGGAACAAGUAUUAGGUGAUCAUCGAGAGCUCAUUGAUGCUCUGACAGCUGAAAUUCUUCGUCUUAGAGAAGAAAACGCUGCUACACAGGCAAGACUUCAGCAGUACAUGGUCACAACAGAUGAGCAACUGAUAUCACUCACACAUGCUAUUAAGAACUGUCCUGUGAUAAAUAACAGACAAGAAAUUCAGGCAUCAGAAAGCGGAGCCACAGGUAGAAGAGUUAUGGACAGUCCAGAGCGUCCAGUUGUAAAUGCCAAUGUCUCAGUGCCAUUGAUGUUCAGAGAGGAAGUGGCUGAAUUCCCACAGGAAGAGUUGCCCGUUAAACUGUCUCAGGUGCCAGACCCUCCAGAUAACAUGAAUCUGGCCAAGAAUUUUCCAGCACAUAUUUUUGAGCCAGCUGUGUUGUUAACACCACCCAGGCAGAAGAGCAACUUAAAAUUCUCUCCUCUUCAGGACGUAUUGAGAAGGACUGUUCAAACUCGUCCUGCUCCACGACUUCCUCCAACUGUGGAAAUAAUUGAGAAGGAACAAAAUUGGGAAGAGAAGACCUUACCUAUUGAUACAGACAUUCAGAAUUCAAGUGAAGAGAAUCGUCUCUUCACUCAGAGAUGGAGAGUCUCUCACAUGGGAGAAGAUUUGGAGAACAAAACUCAGGCUCCUUUUGUUAACCUCUCACAGCCCCUCUGCAAUUCCCAUUCCAACACUCAACAGUCAAGAAGCCCCACAUUCUCAGAAGAGCUCCCAGUACUGGGAGAUGGGCAGCAGCUGAGAACAAAUGAGUCAUUAAUACAAAGAAAGGACAUAAUGACACGAAUUGCUGAUUUGACAUUGCAGAAUUCAGCUAUCAAGGCACAUAUGAAUAAUAUUAUUGAGCCCAGAGGAGAGCAAGGGGAUGGACUCCGGGAGUUGAACAAACAAGAAAGUGCAAGUGACAUGACUUCUACUUUUCCAGUAGCACAGUCUCUAACACCAGGUAGUAUGGAGGAACGGAUUGCAGAAUUGAAUCGACAAAGUAUGGAGGCUCGUGGAAAACUACUGCAGUUGAUAGAGCAGCAGAAACUUGUUGGUUUGAAUCUUUCUCCACCAAUGUCACCUGUUCAGUUACCUCUCAGAGCAUGGACUGAAGGAGCAAAGAGGACAAUUGAGGUAUCUAUUCCAGGAGCAGAAGCCCCAGAAAGCUCAAAAUGUAGUACUGUCUCUCCCGUCAGCGGGAUAAAUACAAGAAGAUCUUCCGGGGCUACUGGUAAUUCUUGUUCUCCACUAAAUGCCACCUCAGGAAGUGGGAGAUUCACACCUCUUAAUCCAAGAGCAAAGAUUGAGAAACAGAAUGAAGAAGGCUGGUUUGCUCUUUCUACCCAUGUAUCAUAAGUGAAGUCAAGUCUCACUGAUCAUUGCUGUUCAUCACUUUUUCCAUCAAGUGAAAUAUACAGCCUUAAAAACAAUAGGCCUGGGAGUGUUUGUUUAUAUUUGCUUAAGCAGUGUCAUGAGGCGGAGAAGGCCCGACCAAAGGGCGGAUAGGUACCGGGUUCCCGGAGAGCUGGACGCCGGCCGCGCAUGCGCCCCACGGCCCGCCCUGGUUCCGCCUCCCUGGAAGAGGGGUGGCGUUGUCUCGGUAACCGGAGUAAACGGAGGCCUCCGGCAGACGCUGUGAAGAGAGGAGCCGCGGCGGUCAGUACCUUCGAGGAAAUGAAGGAACCAGAUGAUCAGGAUACUGAUGGGGAGAAAUCAGUUACAUCAAAGAGUGAUGGGAAGAAGUCUCUGAGGUCUUCUAAAUCAGAAUCAAGAUCUCCUGUUCAAGAAGAUAACACAUUUUUAGAAGAUGACACAGAUGAAACAUUUACCAAAGGGGAAGGAUCAUAUUUAGAAGAAGACUCAGAUGAGGAACGUUUGGAAGGAAGUUUGAGUUCAUUUCAGUAUGGUGAUUUGCAAAGCACUACAGUACCUCAGCAAACCCCUGCUCCAGCUGUGGAAGAAGCAGAGGAGGAAGUUAAGAAGAAAAUAUCAGAGAGCUUCUUCUAUGAUUAUAUGGAGCUUGCUUCGAUGCCUUUUGUGACUCUGGAUUCAAACAUACCACUGGAUCUUCUCACACUUGUACAUUCUUUUGGUUAUGACUGUAGAAAGCGAGCCAACCUACAACUUCUGGACGACAGUAUCGCCAUAUACAUAGCUGGGAACCAACUGAUCUUUCUGAAUUUGAAAACCAAGGAACAGAUCUACCUGCGAAGUAGCAGUGGUGAAGGAAUUGGCGUCAUUGGGGUUCAUCCACAUAAAACUUAUUUCACAGUAGCUGAAAAAGGGAGUUUUCCAGAUAUUAUCAUCUAUGAAUAUCCUUCUCUGAGACCAUACAGAGUCCUUCGAGGUUCUGGGAAAUGGCUUUUACGUUCACCGGUCUCAAGCUGCAGGGAUCACUAGGUCGAUUUGGCAAAACAAUCACUACUGAUAUAGAAGGCUACAUGGAGCUCCCAGAUGGGAAGGUGCUCUCAGGGUCAGAAUGGGGCAACAUGCUGCUUUGGGAAGGUGGUCUGAUCAAAGUGGAGCUCUGUCGAGGGACAAGCAAGUCAUGUCACAAUGGUCCCAUUAACCAGAUAAUGCUGUAUGAGGGUGAAGUUAUCACUGUUGGGUCAGAUGGAUAUGUUAGGAUAUGGGAUUUUGAGACAAUAGACACUGCUGAUGUAAUAGAUGAGACUGGAUUGUUGGAGAUUGAGCCUAUUAAUGAACUUCAAGUAGACAAGAAUGUGAAUCUCUUCUCUAUGAUAAAAAUGAAUGAAACUGGAAAUAACUUUUGGUUGGCUCAGGAUGCCAAUGGAGCCAUAUGGAAGCUUGACCUUAGUUUUUCAAAUAUUACCCAGGACCCAGAAUGCCUCUUCUCCUUCCAUUCUGGAGCUAUUGAAGCCGUGGCUGUUUCUCCUCUCACUUAUCUCAUGGCCACAACUGCCUUGGACUGCUCUGUUCGAAUCUAUGAUUUUGCUAGCAAAACUCCUUUGGCCCAGAUGAAAUUCAAACAAGGAGGUACUGCCCUUGUUUGGGUACCCCGAAUGGUAAACUUCACUGGAGCACAAAUUAUUGUAGGAUUUGAAGAUGGAGUUGUUCGAAUUCUUGAACUUUAUGAUCCAAAAGGGCUCACGAUUUUUGCGGGACGGAAGAAAAUUUUGGAUGCUGAUAUUCAGUUGAAACAGGUUUUCAAACCCCAUACUGCUUGUGUCACUGCUUUAGCUUAUGAACGUGAUGGGGAAAUUCUAGCCACAGGGAGUAAAGAUCAAACUGUUUUCUUCUUUGAAGUGGAAAGGGAUUAUAAGCCGAUUGGUUAUAUUAAUACUCCUGGACCUGUGUGUCAGUUAAUGUGGUCUCCCAUGUCUCAUCCUGAAAGUACUUUACUAAUUAUCUGUGAAAAUGGCUAUAUUCUUGAAGCUCCACUUCCAACCAUAAAGCAAGAAGAGGAUGAUCAUGAUGUAGUCUCCUAUGAAAUCAAAGACAUGUGCAUAAAAUGUUUCCAUUUUUCAAGUGUCAAAUCUAAGAUUCUGAGAUUAAUAGAAAUUGAAAAGAGGGAGAGACAAAGGGAGUUGAAGGAGAAAAUAAGGGAAGAAAGGAGGAACAAGCUAGCAGCAGAGAUGGGAGAAGAUGGAGAAAAAGAAUUUCAGGAGGAGGAAGAGGAGAAAGAGGAGGAGGAGGAGGAAGAAGAGCCAUUACCUGAAAUAUUUAUUCCGUCAACCCCCUCUCCCAUCCUCUGUGGAUUUUACUCAGAGCCAGGGAAGUUCUGGGUUUCUUUGGGUGGCUAUGAUUCUGGUUUUCUAUAUCACUGUGAGUUCCCCCCUUGUGAUGAAAGCAGUGAUUUCAAAGAACAAAAAGAUGAACCUAUUGAUGUCCGUUAUCUUGCGGAUACAGAGGACAAUCCCAUCCAAACUAUCACUUUCAACAUUAACAAAGUUAUGAUGUUUUGUGGAAUGAAAAAUGGAGCAAUUCGAGUCUAUGUCCUAAAUCAAAAUGAUCCUUCAUUGACCAGUUUGGUGGACUACUGGCACUUCAAUAUGCAUGACAAUAAUUAUGGAUGUAUUAAAAGUAUUGCUAAUAGCUUUGAUGAUCGUUUCUUGGUGACUGCUGGAGCAGAUGGCAAUAUCUUUGUUUUCAACAUUUUUUCUGAAUUUAUGCUAAGGAAAGACAUGAAGGCCAAAGUUCCAUCUCCCAGGUUUGGAAUUGAAACAGAGCCAAUUCCAGAAGACAUUGAAGAUCCCAAAGCCUACAGUAUCGAGAAUGCUAGGAGAAAAAGAGAACAUGACAAGUUAAUGAAAGAAGUGGGAGAAAUAAAGGCACGGAAGAGAGAGCAAAUCAAAGCUUUGAGGAGUGAAUUUUGUAAUCUAUUAGAAAUGAAUGAAAAAUUACCAAAGCAUAUGCAGUUUAAACGAACAGAUUUUGAUGUAGAUUCCCAAAUCCGUGCUGAGAUGCACAGAAAAACAGCUUUCAAAAUUCAACAAGUGGAAAAGGAAUUAGCUUGGGAAAAAGAGAAACAUGAACUCGGCCUAAUGAAGCUAAAGAAUCGAUUUCGAGAUCCACUGGAAAGUGAUACUAUUGUGGUUCAUGCCAUACUGAGUGACCACAAGAUAUCCUCUUACAGGCUGGUGCAGCCCUCUAAGUACUCCAAAUUCAAACGAGCUAGUCAAUCAGAGAGAAAACCAAGCAAAUUGGACAGGUUUGAAAAAGAGGGACCUGGAAGAAAGGACAGCCAGAGAGAUGCAGGUGGGAGUGUUACCAUACAAGAAGAAUCAAUAAUAGAAAAAGGGAAGAAAUUUCGGCCUAAAACCCUAAGUGAAAUCAUCGUGGAAAAUCAAAUUGAGAAAACGAGAAAACUUAUAUUAAAAGCUGAAAGGGCACAACUAAAGAUUCAACAGCGAAAAAAAGAAUGGGAGGAACUGUCCAUGGAAAUAAAAGGCACAUGAACAAGUGCAUUCUCUCUCUUAGAGACCUUAAAGUGGCUGUUGUUGAGGAAAUACAGUGCCUGGUACAAGAACUGAAGAACAUUCAGUCGACUCUUCACAUAUCCAAGCACAUACCCAUUCCCAAAAUUCCUCAGAUACACCCAGAAGAAGUUCCAGAAAAGAGAUUUCAGUAUGAUGAAGAAACUCUCCUAAAUUUUAAGCAACAGCAAAUGAAAAGUAAAGAUGAAAAGUCCCCCGGAGUGGAACAGACAGGGUCUGGAGGCCCAGUUGGAGGAUUCCUCAAACUCUCUUCUAGAAAGGAUGGGGAUUUGACAACCCGUGAUUCAAUAUCUAGAUCAUCAAAGGCAUCAACAUUCAGCCUAGAUAUACCAAAGUGUUUGGAAUUUGAAAAAGCAGAGCCAACGGAUGUGGAGCUGGAAAUUAUGAAGAGAGACGAGAUUAAACACGUGUACAUGCAACAGUAUUUGGUCAACAGGAUCAAAGAACUGGUUGUCACUUUCGAUGCAGAACUCCGUCUCCUUAGACAUCAGAAACUAAAACUAGAUACUCAGAUGAAAUUAUCUGACCUGCACCAUGUCACCUUAUUUCAAGAAAUACUUCUCCUGAAGAAUUUUGAAAAACAGGAGAACAUACUUCAAGAACGUGUUAAUUCCUUAGACAAAGAGGAACAGUACAUGCAAUGGAAAAUAAAUGAAACUCUUAAAGAGAUGGAAGAGAAAAAGAAUGAAAUCACCAAACUCCAGGAGCAAGAAAAGGCACUCUAUGCUGGUUUUCAAGCAGCCAUUGGAGAAAACAAUAAAUUUGCAAACUUCCUCAUGAAGGUCCUAAAGAAGAAGAUUAAACGGGUAAAGAAAAAAGAAGUUGAAGGAGAUGCUGAUGAAGAUGAGGAGAGUGAGGAAUCAAGUGAAGAAGAAUCUAGCUUGGAGAGUGAUGAAGAUGAGUCUGAAUCAGAAGAUGAGGUUUUUGAUGAUUCUAUUUGCCCAACAAAUUGUGAUGUGGCUCUUUUUGAGCUGGCCCUUCACCUUCGAGAGAAAAGGCUGGACAUUGAGGAGGCUUUAGUUGAAGAAAAGAAAAUUGUUGAUAACCUCAAAAAGGAAUAUGAUACAUUGUCAAAAAAAGUGAAAAUUGUGGCAACUAAUCUGAAUGCAGCAGAGGAGGCCCUGGAGGCUUAUCAGCGAGAGAAGCAGCAGCGGCUGAAUGAACUGCUAGUUGUGAUUCCGCUCAAGCUCCACCAGAUAGAGUAUGUGGUAUUUGGAGAAAUACCUAGCGAUCUUUCUGGUACUUUGGUCUUCUCUAACCAUGCCUUGAGACGGCUGCAAGAACGAAUCCAUGAGCUCCAGGAGGAAAAUUCCAAGCAGCAAAAACUUAACAAAGAAUGGAGAGAGAGACGUAAACAGCUCAUCCGAGAAAAGAGAGAAAUGACAAAAACCAUACACAAAAUGGAGGAAACAGUCCGGCAGCUCAUGAUCAGCAAGUUUGGCCGUGUGGUAAAUCUAGAAGCCCUUCAAACGCUUUCUGUUAAUACAACACUUGAAGAACUGAAGAUCAGAAAACUUCGAAAGGAGCUAGCAAAUGCGAAAGAGAUGAAGAUGUGGGAGGAAAAGAUUGCUCAAAUGCGAUGGGAACUGAUGAUGAAGACAAAAGAACACACCAGAAAGCUUUAUCAGAUGAAUGAUUUGUGUAUUGAAAAGAAGAAACUUGAUUCUCGGUUGAAUACACUACAGAAUCAGCAGGGCAAUGCCUUCCAGGGCCCUCGGGAAGCAGAUGUUGUGGCAAGAGAGGAGGUCACUGAAUUGAUCCAACUCCAGGCGGAAAGGAUUUCGGCCUUAAAGGAGGAGAUUGCUCUUUUGCGUAGGAAAGGCAGUCUUAUCCUCCCACCCAUUCAGUCUCCACGAGAGAAAGAGAUACAGCCCGCAGACCUUUGAGUUUGCUAUUUUCUCAAACCCAUACAAGAUUUCUGACAUAACUCACUGGAAGUUCUGUCUCCUCAUCACCUCCAACAAUCUUAUUACUUUAAACUGAACUCGCCUGAAAGUGUAAAACCAGAUCCAGUCACGUUAAGUCACUUUAAGAAUCUCUCUACAAUUUGGUUAUCUUAGAACUGACUGCAGCACCCAACCUCUGUUAUGAAACUGAAUCAUUUUAGAUGUUUCGAACCUACUAGAUUGAAUAUGAAGUCUCGGAAGGCUGUGUUUCAUGAUUGCAGCAAAUCACCUGUAAUAUAUUUUGUUUUAGGAAAAUUUGAUUUGGGGGUAUCCUGAAUUUUUAGCCCUUGGCAAGAAAAACUAUCAUUCAGCAAUUCAUGAGAAAACUUUGUUUUCUUGAUCCUUAGAAAAUAAACUUAGAUGUUAUUAAGUGUUCUCUGAGAGGAUGCAGGAGAAAAGGACAUUUUGUCAGCUAUAUCUUAGAAUAGAAAUGCAAAUUUCAGUUUUGGCAUUGUUGACUUCAUAAAGCAGUGUUUUGAGGGCUCAGGAUUCAGGAAAUACAAACAGACAUGGCAGAGCAGUUUGCUUUGGGUUGGCAGAAAGCAGGAAAAUAACCAGCCUUCUUGGAUUGCCCACAGUUUUUGUAGACUCCUCAGUUCUGAGUGGAGCAGAGGGGCAUGCUUAAUAAAACAGUCAAUAAAGAGGCUUUUCUUUAAAGAUUUCUGCAACUCCGUCAGAAUUCUAAGUUUUCCCCAUAGUUUCUCAUGUCCCCUGCCAUUUUCUUUCAGGUUUUACUUGGGCCAUUUGCUGGUUUUGAUAUAGAUGAGGAGAUAAUGAAAUAGAUUUACUAGAGAUCAUCUUUAACAAUCACCUUUGAUUAUGCAUAACAUUUUAAACUAAUUGAAGAGUAUCCUUUUGGUUUGGGGGUAAGUGCUCAUUGAAGUUCAUGGCUAUAACCAUUGCAGGAUAAUCUCACUGACAUUUGGAAUCCUGUUAGUAACAGAGCAUAGCUCUUUAGAUUAAGAGCUCUGUAUUAACGAGCUACUCAUUGAGGCUGUUCCAGGAUAAGCUGGUCACUGAGAAGGGCGGGUGAAGAAAGGAACAUUGCAUAAAUGUAGAAGGGAACUCAGCAAUGCCAAGUCUUCCUCACCUGUGAUUAGCCUGCUAAUGUGCCCCCCAAAAUUACAGACAGGUCUUGCUUUCUUUGUACAUCAGCAUAUUCUUAGAGGUGGCCACUUGGCCUAUUGUCUUCCUAAGAUUCCUUCAUAUUCCUAUUUAAGAGGUCAGAAUACCUUAUUGUUUGCACUUGUCACCAUUAAUUUCUGAUGUAGUCACUUCUCUACUGGAGAGCACCCACUUUUUUUUUUAAAUCACUUUCUGUGUUGUAUAUCCUAAGCCAUGUGUGCCUUUCAAGUAUUUUUAAAAAUAUGCUAGUCAUAGCCCUGAGUGUCUUAUUUAUUGCGGUAAAAAAUUACCCCCAAACUUAGCUUGAAACAACAAACUUGUGAUCUCACCCAGGAGUGAGAGGGUUUCUGAGGUCCAGGAAUCUGGGGACAGCUUGGCCGGGUGUUCUGGCUCAGGGUCUUUCGUGGAGUUGCAGUCACACUAGGAGCUGGGGCUGCAGCCAUCUGAAGCUUGGCUGGAGCUGGAGGGGCUAUUAGCAAAUUCACUCCCUUGGCCAUUAGGCAGGGCUUCAGUUCCUCGCCAUGUGGGCCUCUCCAUAGGGCCGCUUGGGAUAUGACUUCUCCCAGAGCAAGUGAUCCAAGAGUGAGGGAGACAGCAAGAGAGAAUGAUGUAUACAAGAGCCACAGUCUUUUACAGCCCAAGCUCAGAAGUGACAUAGCGUCACUAUUGUCAUAUGGGUCACAGGCUGACCCUGUGUGAUGUGGGAGGGGACUGAACAGGGUGUGAAUGCCAGGUGGGGGUCACCGGGGCCUUCGUGGGAGCUGGCAGCCACAAGAAGCAGCUGCCUGGAGAGAGUGGCUGGUCUCUGAGAAAGGUCUUGAGGCGAUACCAUCCCCUUGGUAAUUGUAGAGAAUCAGGAGAAGUUACGUUAUCUUCCUGGGCCUCAUUUUAUUAUCUGACAAAUGAAGGAUUGGUAGAAUGGGUUCCUUCCCAUUCUGAGAUUCUGAUUCUGAUUGCAGCAAGAAUGGACCUACAGUCUACAGAAGAGCCACAUCAGGACUUGCUGUGCAUUUCAACUGAGAGGAAAGCUAAUCGGGAUAAUUAUUCCCAAACUGAGCUGGACUAAAUCACUAGUUAAUUCUACAAUAUUCAGGGCUUCAUUCCGCAUGUUUGGGAAUUGACGACAGUUAACACUGAAUUACUUUAUUUUGAAUUGGACAAAAUAUGUUGAUAGCUUUAGGUUCAUUUCAACUUGAUUCCAGGCUUAGUCUUAAAUCUGUAGUUAAGUUAGAGCAUCUGAGUCUUUGGGAAGUUAAGCUUCAAACACAAGUAGACCAGCAGGGUGUGGCAUGGGCAGGGUGGCUGGGAAGCUAUCCUGCUCCUGGCACACUUCCCUGCCUUCUGCUGUGCUCCCAGAGGAGCAGCCUCACCUCUGAGGGUAAGGCCAAAAAUCAGCCUACACUGAGUUACUUGUGGGUCAAUUGUUCAUAUAACUUGGCUCUUCUGAACUGUCAUCCAUAGUAUCACCGAUGAUCAAUCUCAGCAUUGGAAGAAAAAGAAACCACAGAGUCCAGCCCCUCUGUCACAACUUCAGAGUAAAGGAGUUGCUCAUGCCUGCCAGCCAGCCUGUCCCACCACAGCGGGCUCCCCAGCUUAGGGAGGUCUGUGAGCCAUGUGCUAAAUUUCUCUUUAGAGCUAAAUCCAUUGAGUGCUAUGAUUCCAGUGCUGUGCAGAAAGCAGAUGUUUCACCUAUCACUUCAGAAAAGUUCACCAGACUUCAUUUUGACAGCUACCUUAGAUCAUCAAGGAGAAAAAGGAAAAAAUGUAAAAACCAGUGGGGCUAGAAGGUGAGUUACAGCUCAGAUUGGGGGGCCUCUGGAUAGCAAAGCAAUGACUGAGAGCGUCAGCCCUACCCACCCCAGAAGUGAGCUCUGGGCCGUGAUGCCAGGUUGUCUGAAAUCACAGUAUCUUAUUUUUUCUCUUCUCUUCCCUGCUCUGCUUCUCAUUUCCUAACAUUUACCUGUUCCUUACAGUCCUUCCUUUUAAAUAAUAUUUUUAAAAUACUGCUUUCCUGAAAACCAUGCUGCACUUCCACAUGAAGUUCUCUCUGACGUUGAGCUUGAUGGAAAAAGGAUGCAGAAGUCAGGAAUAGCAGGUGCUAUACUUAUUUUGGCCAGCAGAGGAUGCACUUGCCCUAAACAGUCAGAGUGACUCUUCCCUAGGACCCUGUUUAUCAAAUUCUUCAUGUUUAAAAGCCAGGGUCUGGCCCCCCACUUAACGAGAUUGUCUCAAGUGGCAUUUCAUCUGUAACUCAAUUUUACAGAAAUCUAGAAAAUACAGGCUCCCCCCACCCUCUCCAGCCCCAAAACACAAAGCGUAGUAAGGCUUUCAUUGCAAGCAUCAGUCUCCAUCUAAUUCCACUUCCACAUAUAAAGAUUUUAAAAUUUCAAUUAAAAAAGAAUCUAUGGUUGAUCCUUUGGUUGGACAACAGUAAGUAAAUGUUGAUUUUAAACUAGUGAGUCAACUACUCUGGCAAUGUUGGUGUAUCUUUGGAAAGAAGGGAAGUGAAUUUAUUAUGCACCAUAUGUCCAUGUGUGGCACAGCACUUAGCUAAACAGUAUUUUGGAGAAAAUAUUUGGUCUUCAACACACACCUAUAUAAAAAAGAUUAGUUCUAUUUCUUCAAUAUGACCUAAACUUCAUCUCAAGUCCAGUUGGUAAGAGAACUAUGAACCUGUUUUUCCUGGUCUGUUGUACAACGGUUCCCUUGUGGACUAAACGGUAAUGUGUUCUGCAUGAAUCCAAGCACAACUGACAUUCACUGUUUUAAAAAACAAAAAAGAGAAACAUUUACUACCUUUUUCAGAUCUCAUUUCUGAUGGACCUGAAAAUAUUGUAAGUGGGUAUUUUCUUCAAAUACUCAGAGACUGAAUUCUAACAUGUAAAGAAAAUGCUGACUCACACAUGACUCAGUUUGAAGGUUACAGGGAAGACUAAACAUUUAUUUAGAAGUUACAGUGUUUGUUUUUACAGAGAUAUGUUGCCACGGAUUAUUGAUUCUGGAAGGUUUUUUAAUGCUCAUAGUGCUGUACACAUCUUGGUCUGUUCUCAUGGGCAUCUUAGGAAAAUGUUUCCCGUAGCACCGGAUCCAGCCAUCUGUGUGGGUGUCUCCAGGCUGUGAUACCGUGCCCCUUGCUGUUCCCUCAUGCUCGUGAUGAACCAUGUGCCUGGGAUCCUUCCUCUUGCCAGCUUAUCUGUGGGCCUCCUGCAGCCUCGCCUGCCACUGCAGAGGCCCCAGGUUAGGAGUCUGUCCCGCGCCAGCCUGUGCGGUGCUUUCCUGGGUGACUCCUGUUAGGUGGCAGCUUCUUUAUUUUCCCUCUCCAACCUCAACGGGUAGGACUCCUUAUGUCUCUCCAGAAUUAUAAAACAUAUACAUUUAUUUACAAGUGCAUAAAUAUAUAAAUAUGGCUAUAAUAGAAAAAUAAAUACCAAUUUUCUCUGUC